Molecule: unclassified non-coding RNA, 348 nt
Filed under: soil metagenome
Description: partial contains 5.8S ribosomal RNA, internal transcribed spacer 2, and large subunit ribosomal RNA
Rfam family: 5.8S ribosomal RNA (bases 1-120)
Source: RNAcentral
GAUGAAGAACGUAGCGAAAUGCGAUAAGUAAUGUGAAUUGCAGAAUUCAGUGAAUCAUCGAAUCUUUGAACGCACAUUGCGCCCGCCAGUAUUCUGGCGGGCAUGCCUGUCUGAGCGUCAUUUCAACCCUCAUGCCCCUAGGGCGUGGUGUUGGGGAUCGGCCAAAGCCCGCGAGGGACGGCCGGCCCCUAAAUCUAGUGGCGGACCCGUCGUGGCCUCCUCUGCGAAGUAGUGAUAUUCCGCAUCGGAGAGCGAUGAGCCCCUGCCGUUGAACCCCCAACUUUCCAAGGUUGACCUCAGAUCAGGUAGGAAUACCCGCUGAACUUAAGCAUAUCAAUAAGCGGAGGA